ACACAGACACACACGCAAGCGUAGCCAUGGCCAAGUCGAAGAACCACACGAACCACAACCAGUCGAGCAAGAACCACCGCAAUGGGAUCAAGGGCCCUAUGCCCCUGCAUCUCCGCAAUUCCAAGCGUGGUAGCUGGCUCCCUGCGUUGGUGAACGCCCGCCGCGUGCGCAAGCACAACCAGAAGGCGGCGCUGAAGAAGCGCCGCGAGCGCAUCGCUGCGUUUGCCUCCAAGAACUAAGCAGGAUCGGAGGAGUGUGUGCGAAGGAGAAGAAAAAGCGUGUGCAGCCACACGUGCGCGCCAUGCCGUGUCCCUUCGUCCCUUGCUCGCUCACAUCCUUGUAGCGCAAGGCUGAAAGGGAGCGGGGCUGGUGAAGCGCAUCAGCAGGCAACGCCACCAACCUUGAUGGUGCGCUUAACUGUGUUAUCGAUUCUCUUCUCGUCUGGUCCUCUUGAUGGCCUUUCGAACGCAAAAGUGGUAUGUCUUUCGGAAUGCAACAAGAAAACAGUGGGAAGGGGCCAAGAGAGAGAGGGCUACCCCCUUCUCUGCUUUCCGACACCCUUCUUUUCUUGUUGUUCGUUUGCUAUCACCGUGUAUGUGUGGCUGCGUACGUGCGUGUGUGUUUCGUGCCUGAUUCUUUUUCGUUUUCUUCUUUUGGGGGUGAGUCUUCCUCGGGUCUUACUCUUCACGCCAAACGCACGAAAAAGCGAAGGGAUACGUAUAUAUAUAUAUAUACAUCAGCAGCCCCAUAACACAAUACCGGUGUCAGCGAAGCGCAUGAGCUCUCUCCGCUUCCCACAAAGUGAGCGCCGUCCUCGUGCACUCCCCUGAUGGUGCUGCGUCUGCGUAGUUGGCUAACAGGCAUCUAGCUAGCACCUGCAUUGCUUGUGUCCUCGCCUCAAUUUCCACCAGUCGCUCGCUGCUAUCCGGAUAGGUGCGCAUGAACGCAUGCGCGUGCGCCUGUGUAGACCGUGCGCAUCCAUAAUGGAACACUCCUUCCACCCAUCUGUUGCUCUCAUCCCUCUCUCCUUUCUGCUCCCGCUUUGCCCUCCACACACACACACACACCUCCCCGACCCCUCUUUCUCUUUGUCCCUCGGCUGACCUCUACGCCUGUAUGGUGCGGUGUGUUACCCCCACUCACCCCGUCUCAUUGCACCAAACGCACACACACAUCUCGUCUGCAUGCGCCACCUCCGCCAACACCAAACUCUACAAUGGUACCCGUUUCCUGGACCCCCUACACCCCCCACCACCACCGCCGCCGCCUCACUGACUUGUGUUUGGUCAUUAUUGCCACAG
This 1301-nucleotide unclassified non-coding RNA is filed under the name Leishmania donovani. RNAcentral describes it as "gene:LdHU3.36.4840(CDS-product:Ribosomal_L29e_pro tein_family_putative)". Lineage: Eukaryota; Euglenozoa; Kinetoplastea; Trypanosomatida; Trypanosomatidae. The record is from RNAcentral.